GACGAACGCUGGCGGCGUGCUUAGCACAUGCAAGUCGAGCGGUAAGGCCCUUUCGGGGGUACACGAGCGGCGAACGGGUGAGUAACGCGUGGGUGACCUGCCUUCGAGCGGGGGAUAACGUUCCGAAAGGGACGCUAAUACCGCAUAACAUCCUGCCUUUUAAGAGGUGGAGAUCAAAGCCGGGGAUCGCAAGACCUAGCACUUGAAGAGGGGCCCGUGUCUGAUUAGCUAGUUGGUGAGGUAACGGCUCACCAAGGCGACGAUCAGUAUCCGGCCUGAGAGGGCGGACGGACACACUGGGACUGAGACACGGCCCAGACUCCUACGGGAGGCAGCAGUGGGGAAUUGUUCGCAAUGGGCGCAAGCCUGACGACGC
This 376-nucleotide ribosomal RNA is filed under the name uncultured bacterium. Its description in RNAcentral is "bacterial SSU rRNA". It matches the Rfam family "Bacterial small subunit ribosomal RNA", at positions 28 to 392 of the family's 1533-position model. The record is from RNAcentral.